UACACUGGUACCUGGUAUAAAAAAAAAAAAAAAAAAAAAGGAAAAUAACAGUGUAACAGGAAGACAGCGAUAGGGUUAUUUCUUCUAAACUGUGGAGUCAGUUAAAAACGUUAGCAACAGUUUCAAGUUGAAUCAUAAAACGAAGUUGACUGGAAUUUGGGCAGUUUAUUUAGGAAGAUUCUGACACGUGAUAUGAAAAUUCCUGGGAUCAUUAGGGGAGUUAGGCUCUAUAUAACAACAAUCAUUCAGGAGGGACUCAGGAUACUGGUUAGCUUAACAAGAUUAAAACUGACUUCCUAGUAUACACAUAAACCAAGCUAGUUUCUCAAAUUAGCAACAGAAACCAGAUGAAACUCCUCAAAUGAGUGUUGCAAAAUAAGGAGCUGGUACUAUAGUUUUAUUUGGGGAGAAAUUGUUAAGUUUGGGUUAACUGCUCAGCCUAUGCCUGAUACUACCCUUCCAUCUAUGGUAUCAGCUGUGGCACCUGACACUCCAAUGUAUCAGCUGAUGGUUUUGGUUUACAAUAAAUUAAUUAAGCAAUGGACCAGUAGGGGCAACUUCUUUGAGAGGUACCCAAACAAGUGGAACAGCCCAAGGGCAUGGCCAUCUUCCAUCAAAAAAGACCCUAGGUGGGCUUUCUGGUUGCACCCUGAGUAACCAGAAUGGCCUGAUAGACUGGCAGAGCUCUGGUGAAAGAAGGGUGCAGCCACUACCUGAAGAACUCUAAUUUCUGAAUCAAUUGAAAGCUGGCAUUAAUGUUGGCCACAGACAAUGCAUUCCAUGUAGACUUACUGCAAAGUGUGUUAUAUGAUAUUGAUCCCUGUCUACCUACUUGGUACUUAAGUAGACUCCCAUGGCUUGAAAGCUUUGGACCAGACCCCAGUUUCCUUCUUUGAAUGCAGUUUUUCUGUGUUGUCACAUCCUACUUGGGACACGUUUCUUUAAAUGGGUUGGGUUGCCUGAUGUAGCAAAAAGAAAUACAGGACACCCGAAUACAUUUGAAUUUCAGAAAAAUAAUGAAAUAUGGCACAUAUACCAGAAAAAAAGUUAUGUUAUUUAUCUGAAAUUCAAAUUUAGUUUCCUGCAUUUUAUCUGCAACCCUAUAAAUAUGUUAGUGGCAUGGAUUAAGCUUGGGUUUUAGUCUAUGUAGUUGUUCCCAGGAACUGUCUUGACUCUUUCCAGUAUGUGUUGUUUUCUUAUGUCUAAGUAAUUGACUAGUAGCCAGGAGCAGUGCUGGUGCACACCCGUAGUCCUAGCUACUCAGGAGGCUAAAUUGGGAGGAUUGCUUGAGCUGAGGAGUUUGAGGUUGCAGUGGGUUAUGGUCAUGCCACUGCACUCCAACAUGGGCACCAGAGCAACCGCCCAUCUCUAAAAUAAUAAUAUUUAAUAAUAAGAGACUGGGGGCAAGGAAGGCUCACACAUAGUUGACCCAAGUUGUAUUUCUUAUAUAUUUAUUUAUUUAUUUCUUAGAACUGUUGUUGAGUGUCAGAAGAGGAGGCCCAAUUGCAGAUAUGAGAGUUUUUAUAGGAGACACGUGGUAUUUAGCUAAAAUAACCACAUAACCAUUACAAUAUUUGCAAACACAAAUUUUUUAAAUGCUGUCUCAACAGCAGGUAGUUUGGGUUUGUGGUUUGUUGUCGUUGUGAGAUGGAGACUCACCCUGUCGCCAGGCUGGAACGCAGUGGUGCGAUCUCGGCUCACUGCAAUCUCCACCUCCUGUGUUCAAGCAAUUUCCCUGCCUUGGCCUCCUGAGUAGCUGGGACUACAGGUGCGCACCACCAUGCCCAGCUAAUUUUUUGUAUUUUAGUAGAGAUGGUUUCACCAUGUUGGCCAGGAUGGUCUCAAUCUCCUGACCUCAUGAUCCACCCACCUGAGCCUCCCAAAGUGCUGGAAUUACAGGCGUGAGCCACCGCACCUGGCCAUCUGUGUGUGUUUUAAGCAGUUACUUUCUCACUCUUCUUUACCAUGAAGGGAAAGUAUAUCACUCUUUAAAAACAAAAAAUACUCGAUAGGUAGCACAGUUAUGAUACCCAUUCUUCAUCACAGAAAAGGUUCACAAAUUUGGAACACCUAUCUUUGCCUUCCAGAACCCCCAAAAGACUUGAGGAUUUAAAGGCACAAGGUACCCUGGAAGGUGGGAGUAAUAAAGAAAGUUGAAACAAGGGGAUUAUUUGAACAUUUAUUUUUGCUCUUCUUUUGUAGGCAGGCAGCUAUCUCUCUAGCAGAUGACUGAAGCCUUAUUGUCUGGAGAAAUUAAACCAAACAGACUUAGAACUGAGGACAGGGGGAGGAUGGUAAUGGUAGUGAUGUGCUAUAUGGAAGACAAAAUGAUUAACAGAAUGAAGCCACUUGGAGGAUGUGCUUUACCAAAAUGAGGGAGUAAUCUGAGAAGGCAUGGGAUCCUGAAACUAAAAGAUGUCACAAAGGAAAACGAGGAAAGUCCCAGGAUGACUACUGUGUCAAGUAAGUAGGACAGAGGUUCCAGGAAGUAGGUAUCUAGGAAAACUGGGAACAAAGUAUUUGAGUACAAUGGAAAGUGUAUAAAUAAGCAGGAAAUUUGAAAUUUUAUUUCUUAGAAAGUAUGUUAUUUAGUAAUCAGUUUUUUAAAAAUUUGACAUUAAAAGUAUAGGCAAAUUGGAGUCUUGUCAGCUAUAAUUAGAUUGGUCCUUACGGCAUAAUACUCCACAAUUGCAGUAGAUGCUGACUUCAAUAAGAUGUGCGCCACAGAAGAUAUUUUUAGAAAAUAAAAAGUUUUUCAAUUUGUUUUCGUAUUUGAUUUGCUUAGGGAAAUCUCAAUUUUGUAUUUAUUUACAGAAAUAAUGCAUAGUCUAUAGCAGUAAUUUCAGCAAGCUUUUUGUUUAAAUUUUAGCCUCUGUAGAAUCAAAAGCAUAAAGAAUUACAGGUUGAGCAUUCCUAAUCCAAAAAUUUGAAAUCUGAAAUGCUCCAAAAUCCAAAACUUUUUGAGUGCCAACAUGACAGCACAAAUGGAGAAUUUCACACCUGACCUCAUGUGACAGGUCAGUCAAAACAAAGGCACACAACAGUUUAUUAAAACUACUGUAUAAAAUUACCUUCAAGCUAUGUAUAUAUGAAACAUGAAUGAAUUUCAUGUUUAGACUUCCCAUCCCAAAGAUAUCUCAUUAUGUAUAUGUAAAUAUUCCAAAAUCUGAAAAAGUUAAAUCUGAAGCACUUCUGUUCCCACACAUUUCAGAUAAGGGAUACUCAACCUGUAUCUACUUUUUAAAAAUAAUAUUCUGAAAUUCGAUACUGUUUUUCAUCUUCCAUGCUAUUUUUGCUAUCAAGAUAUGGUUACAUACAGUGGCUGGUCCAUAAUAUAUUCCUAUAUAAUAUUUUAGAUGUUUCCUUAUGAGUCAUGAUUCAGGGUUUUUUUCUUUGCUUUGUUUAUGUUAAUAUUACAUAGUCUGAGAGUGAAUUUUUAUUUACUUGCAAGUGAUAUGUAUGCUGAUAGGUUUUUCUCUCUGUCAUCAAAUCUAUUGAGUAAACCAUGCCAGGCCAAUUUGUCCAUCUCCUUUUUUCUAAGUAAGAAAUCACAAAUAUACAGUAAAUAGAGUGCACUAAUCAUAAGUGUACUUGAUUUUUUUACAUGUGUAUACAUUCGUAUCAAGAUCAUAUAAAAAUGUAUACACUCAGAUCAAAGUAUUAAAAAUUUCAAAUUCUCUUAUGCCCUUUCCUAGUCUAUACAUCUCGCAGAAAUAACUCUUCUUUUCUAAAGAUCUGUUAGUUUUGGUUGUUCUCAGAUUUCAUGUGAAUGGAAUCAUACAGUAUAUAUUGUUUUAUGCCUGGCUUCUUUCAGCAAUGUACUUCUUCUUUUUUUUAUUGUUAUAGACUAUUUGAUUAUAUGAAUAUAUCAUAAUUCAUUUAUCCUUUUACCUGUUGACAUUUAUUUCCAAUUUUUUGUUAUUAUGAAUAAAGCUAUAAUAAACAUUC
This 3948-nucleotide long non-coding RNA is filed under the name Homo sapiens (human). RNAcentral describes it as "HSALNT0318541". Lineage: Eukaryota; Metazoa; Chordata; Mammalia; Primates; Hominidae. The record is from RNAcentral.